UACGAACUGUGCGAACGUUAAUCGGAAUUACUGGGCGUAAAGCGUGCGCAGGCGGCUGUGCAAGACAGGUGUGAAAUCCCCGGGCUCAACCUGGGAACUGCACUUGUGACUGCACGGCUCGAGUACGGCAGAGGGGGAUGGAAUUCCGCGUGUAGCAGUGAAAUGCGUAGAUAUGCGGAGGAACACCGAUGGCGAAGGCAGUCCCCUGGGCCUGUACUGACGCUCAUGCACGAAAGCGUGGGGAGCAAACAGG
This 253-nucleotide ribosomal RNA is filed under the name uncultured bacterium. RNAcentral's name for it is "partial 16S ribosomal RNA". It matches the Rfam family "Bacterial small subunit ribosomal RNA", at positions 524 to 776 of the family's 1533-position model. The record is from RNAcentral.